UGGAUCUGGCAACGAGGAAGAGAGGCAGAGGAAUUGUAGAAGAGAAGUGGAGACGAAAUUAGAAGAGUCGGAGAGACCAAGAUAGAUCUAUAAGGCGGAUUGAGAGAGGGAGAGGGAGGCACGACAGAGGCGGCGACGGUGGAUUUGAUAAAAACAGAUGCAAAGUAGAGGCUGCGUUGAAUCUAAGCAUAAGGAGGCUCAAAGAUGAGGGAGCCAGGGAGGGAGAGAAGAGUUGAAGCAAUGGAGAAGAGGAAGAGGAGGAAGAAGAGGAGGAGAAGAGGCGGCAAAAAAGGACAAAGGAAUGGAGGCAGUGGAGAGGGAUAGAGAAAGUGAGACAGUGGUUGGGGUGGGAGGUAUGGAGGAAGAAAGGAGGCAAUGAGAAAGAAGAUGAGAAAUAAGAGAAAAAAGAAGUGGAUCACUUUACAUAUACACACUCCCUUGAAUUUCAAAUUUCGAAUUCAAAAUCAAUUAAAAAAGGGAUUCAUUCCCAAUUUCCCAUCAUCUACGUCUCCAUUCUCUGUUUCCAUUUUUCUCUCUUCCUCCUCUUCUUCUUCGAUUCUUCUCCUUCAUCGUCAGUUCCUCCUCUUUUUUUCCCUUCCUUCAUUCGUUUCUUCUUCCUGUUCCUAAUCUAAGUUGGAGAUGAAAGUUAUAAAGUUCAUGCACUCACCAAGGCAGAGGAUGUCAUUGUACCUCAUGGCUCCAACCUUCAGGGGAGUCGUCGCAGUGGAGGCAAUGCCAGCGGUGGUGGUAGGGUUACGGCGGUGGAUGAGGUGCCGAUUGCUAUGGUGGUAGACGAUGGUAUGGCGUGGUGGUCGCAACUGAUGCGGUGGAGUUCGUGAUAAUCAUCGAUGUGUGGUGAUGGAUACGGAAGAGGAAGGGGCGAAAGAGAGCAUAUAGCUGGAAAGUACUGAGUGGUGGCCAUAGAGAGCACUACAGACUAUAAAAGCCGAGAGCACAGCAGCGACGACCAAAACAGAACCGUGAGAUCUAAUCGGCGUUCAGAGUUGAAUGGUUGAUCUAAGUGGAGCAGGGCACCUUUGCUUGUGAUAGUUUUUGAGCCUGAUAUAAAAACCGGUAUUGAAGCAGCAGAUCAUGCAGCAGAAAUACGGAAAUUGGUUCAGUAUUUGGGAGUGAACAAUGACAAUAUAAAAGCUUUUUCUAUACUAACAGUGGUGGGUGCUUUCAGUAUCUAAAUCACUAUCAGCAGAAGUACAUAAUUCAAGGUUCACCCCAUUAUGUACAAGAACAAAUAUAGUGGAGAUCAUGGUUCUCUAUGAAUUUUGGUAGAUAUUUUUACUUAAUGUUUCUUUUAUGGUUCCUUUUUGAUAUGUUGAUUUUACUAAAAUUAUUUGGGAUCUGAUUUCUAACAACCAGAAUUUACUAAAAAUGAAAAUGGGC
Arachis ipaensis is the source of this 1398-nucleotide non-coding RNA. NCBI's taxonomy places the organism in Eukaryota, Viridiplantae, Streptophyta, Magnoliopsida, Fabales, Fabaceae. The record is from RefSeq and is a predicted model, not a curated record.